This 403-nucleotide ribosomal RNA is filed under the name uncultured soil bacterium. RNAcentral's name for it is "bacterial SSU rRNA". It matches the Rfam family "Bacterial small subunit ribosomal RNA", at positions 26 to 433 of the family's 1533-position model. The record is from RNAcentral.
AGGACGAACGCUGGCGGCGUGCUUAACACAUGCAAGUCGAGCGGUAAGGCCUUUCGGGGUACACGAGCGGCGAACGGGUGAGUAACACGUGGGUGAUCUGCCCUGCACUUCGGGAUAAGCCUGGGAAACUGGGUCUAAUACCGGAUAUGACCUCCUAUCGCAUGGUGGGUGGUGGAAAGAUUUAUCGGUGCAGGAUGGGCCCGCGGCCUAUCAGCUUGUUGGUGGGGUAAUGGCCUACCAAGGCGACGACGGGUAGCCGACCUGAGAGGGUGACCGGCCACACUGGGACUGAGACACGGCCCAGACUCCUACGGGAGGCAGCAGUGGGGAAUAUUGCACAAUGGGCGAAAGCCUGAUGCAGCGACGCCGCGUGAGGGAUGAAGGCCUUCGGGUUGUAACCGUC